CCGGAAGGUAAACACCGCGCCCAGCCGCGCCAGGGCCUGCCGCCCGGCCGCUGGGAGGUGCCUGCUCCCCUCGGGGGCGCAUCCGGGUGCCGCUGCUGCCCGAGGCUGGGGUCGCCAAAGCCGACCCCUCUGCAGUGUCCGGGAAGGAGCUGUGCCUCUCCAGGAGAUGCUGAGAGCAGUGCUAGGGCGGCUGUUAAAAUCAGCAUUCAGUGUUGAAUCCGAUGCAUACAGGAGUCCAGUGGGGUUUUUUAAAUGUAAUAGUUUUGUGUAUUUGCCUUCCUGAUGUAAAGUCAUUCAUGUCAUGAUGUCGUGUGAUGAAACCUCCCGAAAUAGAUUCAGAGUUGGCAGCCCUGCCAGGGGCACGGACAGACCGGGUGCCUCGGCCAUGAAUGACUGGUGCCUCCUGAGAUGGGGGCACCGUGGCGGGGACGGGCUGCAGACGUCGGCAUCGGUGUCAGUGUCGGCGGUGGCAAGCGAGGACAGAGGUGGGCGGAUGAGAACGGGAUGGAAUUCAACGCAGACAAGUGCAAGGGGCUGCAUCUAGGAAGAAGGAGCCAGCGACACACCUACAGGCUGGGGAGCACCCUUCUUGUCAACAAAGAGGCAGAAAGAGAUCUUGGAGUCCCCGUUGACUCCAGGAUGAGCAUGAGCCGCCAAUGCGAGGAAGCAGUCAAUGCCGGUGUCCGAGAGCAGGGACCACCCACAGGCAUCAGUGUCGUCAGCAGCAUGCAAGGACCACCUGCAGAUGCCGGUGUUUGUGUCAGCAGCAGCAAGCAAGGACCGCUCGCAGACGUUGGUGUCAGCGGCAAGAAACAGCAAGUGAUGACUGCCCACAGAUGCUGGUGUUGGUGUCAGCAAGCAGGGACCACCUGCAGACACCAGAGGCGGUGUUGGCAGUGAGGGGGAGGGAGGCAGGUAGCGAGGGCGGCUUCAGCAGCGGCCAGUCUUGGGGGCACGUGCCCCCCCACGUCCCCCCUACACAUCGCCUAUGCUCUCAGCUCACACAAGUUGUGGCCAGGUGCCUCGGGUCAGGAAAGAAUGGGAACCACUGUCCUAGAAACAUCAGUUAUGAAUGCUGGCAACUGACCUCCACCUGGGCAUAUGCGGCAAGAAACAACCUUCCCUUCGCUGGUUCUUUGUGUAAGAGUUGUUUCAAAUCUAAGAUCUGCACCUUCAAGAAAAGAAAGAGAAGAAACCCCACCUGUUAGGGCAAAAUGAACAGAAUUUGGGCACAAAAUGAGAAUAAAAAUCUAAACUUCUGUGUCGUGAAAUAGGAACAGUGCACCAAUGUCUCCGAGGGCUGGGAAAGCUAGUUGACAAAAUAAUCAAAAGCAACGUUCUUCAUAUUAAUGAACUCAGCUGAGGGUUACAGCCAUACCUGGAUGCAAGGACGUGUAUUCGGGCAAGGUCCAAUGCAAGACUGAAAAUCAAUACAGCUGUAGUCACAGAAACAUCUAUAGAAGGUAUCUGGGGACAUGGACCAUCACAGUGGAGUCUUGGGCCAUGACUAGGGCUCUUAGGUUAGUACCAGUCAUACAAAUAAUAGUGCUUUAAGCGCUAUGUAAACUUAGGCCAAAGUCUUCAGACUAGUGUAGCUAAAGUCAGGCAACUGACUCCACAAUGAAACACCCAAAUAUAUGGCAUAUAUGUUAGACAUGAUCUAUUAUAUUUGUCAAGUUAUUUAAAAUCUUUAGUUCUGUGUUUCAGUUUUCACAUAUUUUAAAUAUGAGUUAUUCUUGUGUUAUGAAGUCUAAUUCAUUCAUAAUUGCUUAUUCAUUUUUAAAUCCUUGGUUGGAAAUUGUCUUGUAGUACAGAGAGGGUGGUGGUUGUACACCCAUAGCUUUUACUGGCUUCAGUAGGAGCUGAGGUGCUCAUCAUCUAUGACAAUCAGGACACUUCUUAGGUACCUAAACAUGGAUGAAGAUUCAUAUCUUUUUGUGCCAAAAUUUGAAAACUGUUACGCUACUACCUAGUUGACAAUACUUGUAAAUACCUUGUAGUACAAAUAACUUUUUGCAUCCUUGUACUUCAACAAGACUUGGUCUAUAAAUGAAAACACCCACCAUAAGAAAAUGUGUUGGCAAUUCAAGGCUCUGCGGCAUCACAUCCACAUGUAGUGGGGUUCACAGGUGUUGUCUUAAGUAGUUCUCACUGUAUAUUCUCUAAAUGCAUGUAUCAUAAAAGCAUUUCCAAUUUCAAGCAUUCCCCACUGUGCUGUGCCCAAAGUCUUAAAACCUAGAUCUGAAGCAAUUUUUCUCCAAAGAGUCCAUCCAUGACAUAUAUGCUCUCUUUUGUACACUUGUUUUCGUACUACAACCAACAGUUUGAUACAAUAUUUUUUACAUAAAAUAUAUAUAAACUUGUUUAUUGAUA
Molecule: long non-coding RNA, 2373 nt
Organism: Alligator mississippiensis (American alligator)
Lineage: Eukaryota; Metazoa; Chordata; Crocodylia; Alligatoridae
Exons: 2
Source: RefSeq, a predicted model, not a curated record